Molecule: regulatory RNA element, 104 nt
Organism: Clostridium kluyveri DSM 555
Lineage: Bacteria; Bacillati; Bacillota; Clostridia; Eubacteriales; Clostridiaceae
Rfam family: SAM riboswitch aptamer (S box leader)
About the family: The SAM riboswitch is found upstream of a number of genes which code for proteins involved in methionine or cysteine biosynthesis in Gram-positive bacteria. The SAM riboswitch acts at the level of transcription termination control. The predicted structure consists of a complex stem-loop region followed by a single stem loop terminator region.
Source: Rfam
UUCUUAUCAAGAGAGGCGGAGGGACUGGCCCUAUGAUGCCCGGCAACCUGAAUGUUAUUUGUUCAAUGGUGCCAAUUCCUGCGGGGUAACCUGAAAGAUGAGAU